UCCAACCCCUUGUGGAGGAGGACGCCGAAGGUGGGGCUGAUGACUGGGGUGAAGUCGUAACAAGGUAGCCGUACCGGAAGGUGCGGCUGGAUCACCUCCUAA
This 102-nucleotide ribosomal RNA is filed under the name uncultured cyanobacterium. Its description in RNAcentral is "partial 16S ribosomal RNA". It matches the Rfam family "Bacterial small subunit ribosomal RNA", at positions 1434 to 1533 of the family's 1533-position model. Lineage: Bacteria; Bacillati; Cyanobacteriota. The record is from RNAcentral.